GAUGAAGAACGUAGCGAAAUGCGAUAAGUAAUGUGAAUUGCAGAAUUCAGUGAAUCAUCGAAUCUUUGAACGCACCUUGCGCUCCUUGGUAUUCCGAGGAGCAUGCCUGUUUGAGUGUCAUUACAACCCUCAAGCUCAGCUUGGUGUUGGGCCCCGCCGCCCCGGCGGGCCCUAAAGUCAGUGGCGGUGCCGUCCGGCUCCGAGCGUAGUAAUUCUUCUCGCUCUGGAGGUCCGGUCGUGUGCUCGCCAGCAACCCCCAAUUUUUUUCAGGUUGACCUCGGAUCAGGUAGGGAUACCCGCUGAACUUAAGCAUAUCAAUAAGCGGAGGA
RNAcentral lists this unclassified non-coding RNA (329 nucleotides) under soil metagenome. RNAcentral describes it as "partial contains 5.8S ribosomal RNA, internal transcribed spacer 2, and large subunit ribosomal RNA". The stretch from base 1 to 120 matches the Rfam family "5.8S ribosomal RNA", at positions 35 to 154 of the family's 154-position model. The record is from RNAcentral.